CCCCAGACUCCUACGGGAGGCAGCAGUGGGGAAUAUUGCACAAUGGGGGAAACCCUGAUGCAGCAACGCCGCGUGAGUGAAGAAGUAUUUCGGUAUGUAAAGCUCUAUCAGCAGGGAAGAAGAUGACGGUACCUGAUUAAGAAGCCCCGGCUAACUACGUGCCAGCAGCCGCGGUAAUACGUAGGGGGCAAGCGUUAUCCGGAUUUACUGGGUGUAAAGGGAGCGCAGACGGCAGUGCAAGUCUGGAGUGAAAGCCCGGGGCCCAACCCCGGGACUGCUCUUGGAACUGCGCGGCUGGAGUGCAGGAGGGGCAGGCGGAAUUCCUGGUGUAGCGGUGAAAUGCGUAGAUAUCAGGAGGAACACCGGUGGCGAAGGCGGCCUGCUGGACUGCGACUGACGUUGAGGCCCGAAAGCGUGGGGAGCAAACAGGAUUAGAUACCCCAGUA
RNAcentral lists this ribosomal RNA (446 nucleotides) under uncultured bacterium. RNAcentral describes it as "bacterial SSU rRNA". It matches the Rfam family "Bacterial small subunit ribosomal RNA", at positions 329 to 792 of the family's 1533-position model. The record is from RNAcentral.